Molecule: transfer RNA, 71 nt
Filed under: Plantactinospora alkalitolerans
Lineage: Bacteria; Bacillati; Actinomycetota; Actinomycetes; Micromonosporales; Micromonosporaceae
Description: Plantactinospora sp. S1510 tRNA-Ser
Rfam family: tRNA
About the family: Transfer RNA (tRNA) molecules are approximately 80 nucleotides in length.
Source: RNAcentral
CCGUCCGUAGCUCAACGGCAGAGCAUCCGCCCCGAAGGCGGGCGAUGCGGGUUCGAGUCCCGCCGGGCAUG